This 305-nucleotide ribosomal RNA is filed under the name uncultured bacterium. Its description in RNAcentral is "bacterial SSU rRNA". It matches the Rfam family "Bacterial small subunit ribosomal RNA", at positions 337 to 641 of the family's 1533-position model. The record is from RNAcentral.
GCCUACGGGACGCAGCAGUGGGGAAUAUUGCACAAUGGGGGAAACCCUGAUGCAGCGACGCCGCGUGAGUGAAGAAGUAUUUCGGUAUGUAAAGCUCUAUCAGCAGGGAAGAAAUAGCGACCUUUGGGUCGCCAGACAGUACCUGACCAAGAAGCCCCGGCUAACUACGUGCCAGCAGCCGCGGUAAUACGUAGGGGGCAAGCGUUAUCCGGAUUUACUGGGUGUAAAGGGAGCGCAGGCGGUAUGGCAAGUCAGAUGUGAAAACCCAGGGCUCAACCCUGGGACUGCAUUUGAAACUGCCAUAC